This 497-nucleotide ribosomal RNA is filed under the name uncultured bacterium. RNAcentral's name for it is "partial 16S ribosomal RNA". It matches the Rfam family "Bacterial small subunit ribosomal RNA", at positions 28 to 507 of the family's 1533-position model. The record is from RNAcentral.
GAUGAACGCUGGCGGCGUGCCUAAUACAUGCAAGUCGAGCGAACGGACGAGAAGCUUGCUUCUCUGAUGUUAGCGGCGGACGGGUGAGUAACACGUGGAUAACCUACCUAUAAGACUGGGAUAACUUCGGGAAACCGGAGCUAAUACCGGAUAAUAUUUUGAACCGCAUGGUUCAAAAGUAAAAGACGGUCUUGCUGUCACUUAUAGAUGGAUCCGCGCUGCAUUAGCUAGUUGGUAAGGUAACGGCUUACCAAGGCAACGAUGCAUAGCCGACCUGAGAGGGUGAUCGGCCACACUGGAACUGAGACACGGUCCAGACUACUACGGGAGGCAGCAGUAGGGAAUCUUCCGCAAUGGGCGCAAGCCUGACGGAGCAACGCCGCGUGAGUGAUGAAGGUCUUCGGAUCGUAAAACUCUGUUAUUAGGGAAGAACAUAUGUGUAAGUAAAUGUGCACAUCUUGACGGUACCUAAUCAGAAAGCCACGGCUAACUACGUG